UUCGGGCGUCAGUGGCGGACGGCUGAGUAACACGUGGGUGACCUGCCCUCGAGCGGGGGAUAACUGCCCGAAAGGGUGGCUAAUACCGCAGACAUCCAUCAUUCGGUUGGUGGAUUGAACCGAUACAGGGUUCGAGGAGGGGCCCGCGGCCGAUUAGCUAGCUGGUGGGGUAACGGCCUACCAGGGCGUCGAUCGGUAGCUGGUCUCAGAGGAUGAUCAGCCAGACUGGGACUGCGAGACGGCCCAGACUCCUACGGGAGGCAGCAGUUAGGAAUUUUGGGCAAUGGGCGCAAGCCUGACCCAGCAACGCCGCGUGGGUGAUGACGGCCUUCGGGUUGUAAAGCCCUUUUCCCAGGGAAGAUGGUGACGGUACCUGGGGAAUCAGCCCCGGCUAACUACGUGCCAGCGGCCGCGGUAAUACGUAGGGGGCAAGCGUUGUCCGGAUUUAUUGGGCGUAAAGCGCUCGCAGGCGGUCCGAUGCGUCGUGCGUGAAAGACCCCGGCUCAACUGGGGAGGGUCGUGCGAUACGGUCGGACUCGAGGCCAGUAGGGGGACGCGGAAUUCCGGGUGUAGUGGUGGAAUGCGUAGAGAUCCGGAGGAACACCAGCGGCGAAGGCGGCGUCCUGGACUGGUACUGACGCUCAGGAGCGAAAGCGUGGGGAGCGAUCCGGAUUAGAUACCCGGGUAGUCCACGCCGUAAACGAUGAGUACUAGGUGUCGGGGGUAUCGACCCCCUCGGUGCCGCAGCUAACGCGAUAAGUACUCCGCCUGGGGACUACGGCCGCAAGGCUAAAACUC
Molecule: ribosomal RNA, 798 nt
Filed under: uncultured Bacillota bacterium
Lineage: Bacteria; Bacillati; Bacillota
Description: bacterial SSU rRNA
Rfam family: Bacterial small subunit ribosomal RNA
Source: RNAcentral